RNAcentral lists this ribosomal RNA (586 nucleotides) under uncultured bacterium. RNAcentral describes it as "bacterial SSU rRNA". It matches the Rfam family "Bacterial small subunit ribosomal RNA", at positions 102 to 686 of the family's 1533-position model. The record is from RNAcentral.
ACGGGUGAGUAACGCGUGAGAAUCUGCCCUUCAAUGGAGAAUACCUCCGAGAAAUCGGAGUUAAUACUGCAUACGUCCCUUCGGGGAGAAAGAUGGCCUCUUUGCUGUCGUUGAAGGAUGAGCUUACGUACUAUUAGCUAGUUGGUAGGGUAAAGGCCUACCAAGGCGAUGAUGGUUAGCCGGCCUGAGAGGGUGUUCGGCCACACUGGAACUUAGACACGGUCCAGACUCCUACGGGAGGCAGCAGUGAGGAAUCUUGCGCAAUGGGCGAAAGCCUGACGCAGCGACGCCGCGUGGAGGAUGAAGGUCUUCGGAUUGUAAACUUCUGUUAAGUGGGAAGAAAAGCGCAGUUCUAAUACAGCUGUGAAAUGACGGUACCAUUAAAGAAAGCACCGGCUAACUUCGUGCCAGCAGCCGCGGUAAUACGAAGGGUGCAAGCGUUAUUCGGAUUGAUUGGGCGUAAAGGGUGCGCAGACGGCGCGCUAAGUCAACUGUUAAAUUUCCUGGCCCAACUAGGAGCUCGCAGUAGAUACUGGCAUGCUUGAGGAUGGAAGAGAGAAGUGGAAUUCUCGGAGUAGCGGUAAAA